Long non-coding RNA from Physeter macrocephalus (sperm whale), 1001 nucleotides. RefSeq lists it as uncharacterized. The transcript has 3 exons. The record is from RefSeq and is a predicted model, not a curated record. NCBI's taxonomy places the organism in Eukaryota, Metazoa, Chordata, Mammalia, Artiodactyla, Physeteridae.
GUGCUGGCUGCUGCCUCAGGCCCUUGGCCCUAUAUACCCCUCUCGGGCCCCUUAAGUUGCAGCUCCAACGUUCUUGGCGCUUCUCCGGGUGUUGGGCUCUUCCCUACUCGGAUCGUGUCCUAGGAAUGUCCUAACUAUACCCGUGGGGAGAACUUCACCCUAAGCCCGGGAUUCCACUCCAAGACCUGGAAGUUGACACCUUGGCUGCCCUGCUCCUGGAUCUGCCUCCUCCUCUCACCAUCUCAUUUCUUCUCCCAGGAUUGCAGUGGGUUCCCCCCGAGGAGAGCUGACUGCCCUGUGCUGCCGCCGACCUUUUGGCAGAGUUGAGCCGAAAUGUCCCCGGAAUCUAAAAAGCUUUUCAACAUCAUUAUUUUAGGAAUUGCCUUUAUGUUUAUGUUCACCGCCUUUCAAACUUGUGGAAAUGUAGCGCAAACUGUCAUCAGGAGCUUAAAUAGCACAGAUUUUCACGGCAGUGGCUAUACCAGCAUGGCAAUUAUUUAUGGAGUGUUCUCUGCUUCAAAUUUGAUUACGCCAUCAGUGGUUGCCAUUGUAGGACCUCAACUCUCUAUGUUUGCUAGUGGUUUAUUUUACAGGUGAGUAGUCCAAUUUUCUUUCAUCUAAUUAGAACGCCUUCAGCUUCUUUCAAGCACAUAGUAAACUUUUAACAAGAACUUGCUGACUUGGAUUGAAUAGAUUAUAGGAAGUAUUUUAGGGAUUUGGUUCUCUACUUGAUGCUCAGGGAUACCAUUGUUUUAAUGUGAUGGAAUUUGUGUAUAUUUGCUUUCAUUUUACCACCAAUAAAAAUAGCAUCCAAAAACCUUUUUCUACAAGAGUUGAAAAAGAACUCAUGAAAUAAUCUUAUUUUGUGUCAAGUUGACUAAUGGGAAUUAAAACGAAAUAACUGAACUUUUUUUUCUGGGCUAUAGAACUGCAGUCCCACUGUGUACUGAGCUGUUGGCAGAGGCCAAUUGCAGACCUUUAUUCAAUGUCUCAGUUCACAA